CGGAGAAAUCUUGGUUCCCGCCACCACUGUUGUUAAACGCGUUUGCAGUACCAUGGUUUUCGUAUUUUGAUGCUUCGGCUUCUUCAGCCUCAAGCAUUGCGAGGAGGUUUUUCAUCACACGAGAUGACAUUCUUAUAACUUUACUUAAAUAUUGCUAUUAGAAUUUUUGUAUUUGGAUGGUGUUAAUGUUGCAACCAAAACCUUAUUAUAUAGAUGAAAGGAUAGGAAUAUGAUGCUUUUGCUUGUUGUUCACGCGUGAAACUCGUUUUUAUACCUUGGAAUCAAAUUAUAUUUAUGCAUAAUUACAUGUCUUUGGAUUAUACCCAAGAGUUCUUCUCAACAGCAUAUUAGAUUCCCAAACAUGAUCAAGAUAUAACAAGCAUUAUAUAGGAGAAUAAAUAUAAACAUAAUAUAAUAACUAAAACCGGCAUAAAGUCAUGAUUACAAGUAAUACAUAUAUGUCAUAAUAGAGUGAAAAUAUAACUCGACUAAAAAAGAAUUUGAUAUUUAUUAGUAUUUUUAGUAAAUAAUCACGAGUUUGGUUUAUUGAGAGUUAGACUAAAAAAAAUCUCAAGGACAAUUUGCGCAAAGAUGUGCAGAAAAAGGUGUUUGUAAUUGAACCUUAAAUGCUUGAACAAUGACCAAAGGAAUGUAAAUUCUAACAACAAUAAAUUUUGGAUAAAGAUAAUAAAUAAAAAGCGUGACAAAAGUCAUAAAAAAAUAACAAUGCUUUAAUUUAAAAUACUUGAAGAAUUUAAAGAGUGGCAUUUAAUCAUACAGUAUCUCACAAAUUGUUUCUCUAUGCAACUUGGGUAUUUUAGUUUUAUAGAGAACAUAUGAAAUUUGUGACCUUGAUCCCAAUAAUGAGAUCAGUUAUAUAUAAUAAUACAAUAGUAACCAUCGACAACAACUAUUUCCACAAGAUUUGAUAUGUAUCCCAUGACGUGGGUUUCAACGCUCUAACUUGCUUCCACAUUAAAACUAUUGAAAAUCACUUACUAUGUUGAUAACUGCUCUUAAACCUCUUAACUGCCUCUAUUGAGAGUCUUUGGUCGACUCCUAUAAUAAUUUUGAGAUAUAUUCAUAACCGCAUCCUAUUGACUUAAUAAUAUCCCAAGUUUCCAACAUCUGGUGGAUGUUUUGAACUCGACCCUUGUCGAAGAGCUGGUUCACCUAUUCCUUUUUUAGAUUGUGAACAUGUUUCGAAGAGAGACUGAUCUUGAUCUUAUGGAUAUAUUCUUGAGACUCUUACAAACCAUGCUACACGGGCUAUGCCCCAUAUCAUAUGACAAAGAGGUAUAACCAUCUUUAGUCGACGUGGUGGAUAUGUUAAAGUUAUACUUGGGGCUCUUGACAAUUAACAUUUUCAGACGUGGUUAUUAACAUUCUUUGUUAAAUUCCUUCAACUAAAAUUUGCAUGCUAAUAGAUGCUCCAAAAAAUGCCACUUUCGAUCAUAUUAUCAGAUGGAGCAAAAGGUGGGGUUUUCACUAACUUCUCGAUAUAUAUAAAAAAAAAAUAAUCAAGCGAAAGUGACAAAUAAAAUUUUGGAUUUAAAUAUGUUUGUGGUCCUCAUAAAUAUUUCAAAUUUUGUUUUUAAUCUUUUAAAAUAUUUGUUUCAGAGAAUAGUCCUUUCAAAAUUUUGCAUCUCCACCAUCAUGCCGUGAGAAAUAAAAGAGGGCAUGUCAAAGAAAAGGCAGUGAGUUCACAUCAGAGGUUGCACGCGAAGUGGCUGAAAAGAUUGUAAGUUGAUACUUUUUUCAACAAUAUUUAUUUUUGUUAAAUCAAUUUGGUAAAUAUGAAAUUUUAUAUAUGUUGUAGAAUUUACUGGUUGAUUAAUCUAAAGUUGGCCUCUUCGUUCCAAAAGAUCGUCAUGAUAUCUUGGUAGAAGAGAUUGGAAUCGAGAAGCAUCAUGGACGUGUCUGUGAUCUUGGAAGAGACAUUGACUUCAAGUCACAUUUUGGACCAUCUAAAUCAUAUAGGCAAGUAAAUAGUAGGAGAAAGAUUGAAGAGAUAGUUGUUGUAUAAGUGAGGGAGGUAACAGAGAUGUGAAUUCAAGAGGAGAGGGGGAAUUUGUUGCAGUAGGUGCGGGAGACUGUUUAGAAGGAGCAAGAGGAGCGAAAGAGGUUGGUCGAGGAGAAGCGAAAUAAGUCAAAUGAGGAAGAGCUUGAGAUGGUGUAUGAGAAGUGUAUCCGCGAUGUGUUUGAGGUAUAAGUAUAGUAAAAAAAAUGGGUUGUAUGUUGUUGUUUUUAUUGUUUGUGAAUUUUAAUAUUUGUAUUGUAUUCCUGUUAUUUUUAUGAUACAAAAAUUGAAUUCAUUGGGUUUACUUAACUAAUCAAUUUCAAAUGCCUAGUUGUGCAAUCAUGAUAAAGUUAUGGGUGGUACAAGCACGAAAGAAAGUUUUUUUGUCCACCAGGUGUUAGCAGGGAUUUUCGACAAAGAAAAAUACCUCAGCAAACAGGUCAAAGUUCGGGACAUGUUGACUUUUGAUGACGUGUACACAGUUUGGAGUCCCAAGUGAAAAGAAAUUGGGACUUAGUAUUUUUUGGUAAUAUUGUAGAAACAUUUCAACAACGAAGUUCUCGACAUCACCAAGUGCAUCGAAGAAGCAGUUAUUUAGGUGCACAUAGAGAGAAUGUAAGGCGAAAUGCAUGCAGGCUUCUACGUGGUGAAAGCUGAAAAUGUGAACGUUGAAAGCAAUUAUUUCUUACUAGUGUAUAUAGCAGACUCAUUUGUAAAAUUUGAGGUGUUCAUUUCAUCAUAAAAUCUCACUUACACUCGAAGCACCAGCGCUAAGAGAAAAUAGUUUUCAUUGAGAGAAUGUAUGAACCAUAAAACACUAAUCUUUACUUUAAUCCAAAAGUCUUUCAAUUCAGUUUACUUUUCUGUUGCUUUCAUCCAUACACAAUUUUAGUGCUUUCGUUUUACUUUGGUUUUAAUUAAUAUUUCGCUAUAUCUCUAUCGAGAUUACACAUUUACGCUUUUCUGAUGACAUCUUUUUCAAACUCUCUUAAAAAAUCAUUAUCUGAUUUAGAAAUUUCUUUAAAUGAUUUUUUCAUAUCAUUUUCAAAAAAAUUUAAACCUUCUAAAAAUGCAUAAAUUGAUUUUUGCAUAUCUGUAUUUUGAAUGAGUGAGUGUUGUUGAAGCUGUGAAACUAUUGUAUUGUUGCAAAUGUGGAGAGAUAGUUGUACUUUGAUGGUGAUAGUUGUAUGAAGAGUAUGGGUGUAGCCAUAGUUAAAACCUAAAUUGGUGAUGUGGUUGGAAGAAUGGUGGUGGAAUAAAAUGGAUAAGUGUAGGGGGAAUAAGUUUGUAUGAUAAGUAUAAUCCAUUAGAGGAUAUGAAUGCAUGAAUGAAAGAACCAAUUGAUAGAGAGCUUAAACCUAAGUUGCUAGAAAAUAAAAGAAAAACAAACUAAAUAAAAUAAAAGAGACUAAAUUUAAAUACAUCAUAGUCAUCCAUCCAUAUGACACAAUUCUAAAAACUUAAAAACCUUCUUGAAUAUCGUACUAAUUAAUAUAUAUUAGAAUGCUAAUUAAAAUAUCUAAUCAAUAAUUAAUAAAUUUUCUCUAUCAAUGUGUGAUCAGCAACCUAUUCUUACCUCAAUCUUAAUAUAGCUAGAUUAAUUUGAAGUUUGUUCUCUACGUUUGAUUGUUUUUGGUUCGUUUGGAAUAAAUAUUUUAUGCUGAAAGAGAAAAUUUGUCAUUUUUUUUAUAAAUUAGUUAUAAAAAUUUUAAAAAAUAAAUAACAUAGGAUUGAAUUGUGAAAUGAUUAUACGUAAUCUUUAAUUUUUUAAAAUACCAAAUAAAUAUUAAAAUAUUAAUUUAGUUCUUAAAAAUGCCCCAUCCAAACAAGUUCAAUCCAACUUGUAAGGGAAAGAAUUAAGUGCUACUUGUUCAAAUGAGGAUGUGGUUUGAUAAUUUAUUCUAAACACCAAACAAGUAGGAUUCGUUUUGAUGUGAAAAGUUUAGGAGAAUAUAUCCAUAAUGAAUAAGUUCAUUCCUAUCCGCAUUUGUGCUGCAUGGUAGAUAAGUAUUCCUACCCAUUUUUAGUUAAAGCCAAGUUCCAUGUUUUUUUUUUAAUUUAAGUUUAUAUAUAUAAUAAUAUAUAUAAUAUAAUAUAUAUAAUAUAAGAUGAAAGAAUCUAUUAAUAAUAUAUGAUACACAUAGGGGGAUAAAAUUUUGUAUAGGUCUCCUAUAACAAAUAAUAUAAUUUACUAUAACCUCAUCUAAUAAAUACCCGAUGUAAUCCUUCUAUCUCACUAUGAAUGAUUCAGUUGACCAUUUCUCAUAUAUUAAGAAAAAAGAAUAAAUGAAAGAGAGAAUGAUAUUUUUACUAAAGUGCAUUUAUUAUGUAUUGAGAAUGAGGGUAAAAUUGAAAAAAUGUGUAUUGAAAAUUGAAAUUGAUUAUUCAUUUUAAGAUGCUAUUUUAUUUUAAGAUGCUAUUUUAUUUUAAGUGUGUCAUAUUUAAAAAUUAAAAUUAAAAUCAAUUUCCUUGGUUCUACAAAAACCUUUGGGAUAAAUUGACUAAGGGAUAAAUCUUGAGUGUGUCAUAUUUCUUUUAUAAUGACAUCAUUCUUUUUUAUUUUACUCUUUAUUUUUUAUUUAAACCUAACUUAUUUGCUACUGCUUAAACUUGCAAACAUCAUUCUCUGAGGUGAGUUGUAAGGCAGAAAAAUAUUUAAGGUUUUUUAAUUAGUUAAGAAAAUUUUCAAGGUUAUAUGUUGUUGUUGCUGCUAAUGAUGUUGUUGUUGUUAUUAUUUUUGUUGUUGUUGUUUUUGUUGUCGUUUUUGUUAUUUUCCAACUUUGAACAAAAUAUUUUUCUCUCUCUUGGGAUCCAUCUCACAGAAUGACGUUGUUGUUGAUUCCACCUUUUGCAAUUCAUUUUUAUAUUUGGCAGAAUUUCUCAAUGUUGUCAUCAAUUAAAAAUUCAAUGAUUAAAUUCUUUUCUUGAUCAAUAAUUUUAAGAAACGUAUUCCAAAUCAUACUUGAAAAUAUGACAACCCAAAAGAAAUGAGGUUUAAGAAAUCAUAUAUUUUGUUUAGUUAAAACUCAUUUCUCGCUAUGCUAGAUACUUUGAAUUUUUUUAGUUUUAUAAUAAAUUCAAUACAACAUCCUGAAUCCUAACACUAAAACUCAUAUUUAUACUAAACGUAUAAUACUUGCUUGUAACGUCGAAAUGUUUGAUUAAAAUCCCUUUUCAAAAAACUUGUAAGUCUCAAUCCCUUACACAUGUGACUUUAACUUGUCUUUAAAGAUCAUAUUCAUUAUUCUCAUGUAGGUUACCUCUGCAUUCAUGAGACCGAAGGCCAUCACUUUGUAGUAGAAGUUCUCUACUUCUAUCAUGAAUGAUGUUUUGUUACAAUCAUUUGGGUCCAUGUUAUAGGGUUGUAACUUAAAUAAGCAUUUGUAAACGAUAAGAGUUAGAGUUCCAUAAAGUUAUCCACCAAUUUGUUUAUGUUUGAUACGGUUGAAUCUGAGGAAGUUGAUAAAUGGUUUUAUCAAAUAGAUCAUAUUAUAUUAGACCAUUAUUUGAAAAUCUAAAACAACACCUGAUUGCAGCCCACCAAAGUUACUAAUUAUUUUUUAAAUCGUCAAAGUUAGGGAAAAUGGAUUGUGUGUACGUUUAGCUUAUAAAAAACAUUUUUGAAAAAAAUACUUUCCACGGAUCCAUUUUGGCGAUGUAACAUAAAAAUCCGAAGAAAUAUGUAGAGAUUUCAGGCUAAAAGAAAAUACUAAUAGCAACCAUUAAAACAUAUGGAGAUUUAUUAUAGGGACACUAGUGCCUUUAUUUUAAACCUCCUAUACAUCAACAUACAUCAAUUGAAACUAUAUAUAGCUUCAAUUUCAUUAUUACUUGCAUAUAGCAUAUUUAAGAUCACAUAUACAUAUAAUAUAAAAACUUAUAGUUCUUGUGGAUGCAUGAGAGUUAACCUCAGUAUACCUCCAUUGAAAGUACCACUGUUAUUUACGGUGCGACCUCCAACAUUGUUGGUGGUGCGGUACUUCUUUCGGUCCCCGGAAUUGGCACCGCUGUUGAUUCUGGCACCGGAGAAAUCUUGGUUCCCGCCACCACGGUUGUUAAACGCGUUUGCAGUACCAUAGUUUUCGUAUUUUGGUGCUUCGGCUUCUUCAGCCUCAAGCAUUGCGAGGAGGUUUUUCAUCACUCGAGAUGACAUUCUUAUAACUUUACUUAAAUAUUGCUAUUAGAAUUUUUGUAUUUGGAUGGUGUUAAUGUUGCAACCAAAACCUUAUUAUAUAG
Molecule: long non-coding RNA, 6256 nt
Filed under: Lathyrus oleraceus (garden pea)
Lineage: Eukaryota; Viridiplantae; Streptophyta; Magnoliopsida; Fabales; Fabaceae
Description: Pisum sativum (pea) long non-coding RNA (PSAT_LNC003216)
Source: RNAcentral